Pelobates cultripes (western spadefoot toad) is the source of this 219-nucleotide non-coding RNA. The record is from the annotation of a GenBank genome assembly. Lineage: Eukaryota; Metazoa; Chordata; Amphibia; Anura; Pelobatidae.
UAAUUAUGGCUCUACUGUGUGGGGGAGUAAAGAGGCUGCAGUGUGUGUGUGUAAGUAGGAUAGUGGCUGCAGUGUGUGUGUGUGUCUGAGGGGAUAGGGGGCAUACUGAAAAAGGUCAGUAAUGAGAGGGAUAGAUGCCGAGGUGGUUGUGGGAAGGCAUAAGGGCUGUGGUUAGCAUAGGGGCUCUAGUGGACGUAGCAAGGGAUAGAAGCUGUAGUG